GCUGACACGAGCGACCCUUCUCUCUGCUCUGAAUUCAGCAGCAAUACAUCACUGGCUGCUUUAUUCCUCACAAAUGAGUCGCUUCCUGUGCUUCAUUACUGAGCUGCAUUUCUCUUUUUCGCUGAACAGCAUUAUGGGAUUUGUGAGAACUUCUGCACUGCUGCUUUCAAAUGUGUCCCAAGUAUCUUUAAAUCCGGCCGUCGACAGGAGGAGUGAAAAUAGUUGAAUUGAUAUUUAUUCGAUCAGUAUGUCCGGUAUUUCAGUCUAUAAGAGAGGAGUGUACGCUUCUUUACGGUUUCGUCACACCUCCUCGUCGGUGAUUAUCGUACUGUAACAGCGCCGCACACGGUGCGCUGCUGGGAAAAGAGAACGCCGAACGCCUUCCUCAGUCACCGCCCUCCUUCUCGGCCUCACUAUCGUCCCUCGUUCCGUCUCUCUCCUCCUCCCUCCCUCCCUCCUUCACUCCUCUGUCCGUCUCCGCCCUCCCUCUCCCGUCCAUAAUGUCCUCCUCCUCCUCGUCUUCCUCGUUCCUCUUGUCCUCCUCAGCCACUCUUCCCCUCCCCUCCACACUCUCUCACUCCCUUCCUCCACUGCCCCCCACCGUCUCCUCCUCUCUUCCUUCCACUCCUCUUCUAUCACUCCAUUCUAAAUCAGCCAGCAGAGACAGCAGCACACAAACCAGGAGGAGUCCAGAGAGUGAGAGAGUCCAGAGAGCCACGCUCCCUACAGGCCGAGGGAGAACAGCCAGGAUGGACUACCCAAUCGCUCAGGUGAAGUGUCCCGAGAGCCGAGUCGUCCACACGACGGGGCAGAAGAUCAGACCUGCCGACUCGGACCUGGUGGAGAUUCUGAUCUAACACACAUCUACGGACAGAACGCAGUCUCACCACUGAAGGAGAGACAGACAGGCAGAGCGACUGACAGAAAGAGAGACAGACAGGCAGAGACAGGCGUCUCUCGGUUUAGCCCCGUGCACGCUGUGUGUAUAAAGCUCCUCGUUUAUCACUUUCGGUAAAAGUUGUGUGUAAAUAUUUGCACAAGAGACGGAACUGAAAAUUUCCCAUCAGGUUUAUAAACGUUUCAGAAACGCUGCUUUCCUCCGUAGUCGUGUGCGUAUGUCGAUCAUCGGUAAAGUGUCAAGCGCGUUCCGCACGCAGCUCAUUUGCAUAUAGUGACGCCCACAAAACUCCAUAAAAGGUAAAGUGCACAGAGAGCUGGGAGCAGGAAGUGAGCGAUCAGGGUAAAGACUGAAGAACAGAAGUAAGAGGUUACUUUGACUCACUAUUACAGCUAAAUCUCCAUAAUCUCUCGUCACACACACUCAGGAGCUCCAUUAGGAUGCGAAGGUUUUUUCAGAAUAAUAAUAGUAUAACAUCCAGCCCAGUGAGUGGAUUCAGCACUGAGUUUCUGGACCGAAGGGUCUUUGGGUAAGGGUCUGCGAGCGUGUGGCGCGGCCGUGUCUGGGUCACGCUGACAGACUGAACGGAAGGGUUGCUAAUGACAGGGAAGAGAAGGGAAGUUGAGACGGAGAACAGGUUGAAGAGGUGAGCGAGUUUAACGCAGGAUAUGAAAGCGUGUGAACCUGAAGAGGGUAAAAGUUCAAGUGUGUGAGUCGCGGAGCUUCUCUCUGGUUCAUGAUGCGUCUGUUUCACACACUCCAGCUGUUCUGGAGCUCUUCUACACGUUUACCUGAAAAAGACUGUUGUGUUAUUUUAUUGAGAUGAAGUUCUGGUCCUGUUCUGUAAGACAUGAUGAAAGGUUUGAGGUGAUUAUCAUGAUAUGGAAAUGUAAUGUCUCAUGCUGAAGCUCUGAGAUGGUUCUGUGGUUCCUCCUCUGUUCUCCGGCUAACAAUAAAACAGUGCCUUAAUGCAACAGCACUUAGACACACACACACACACACACACACACACACACACUGUUUUCUUUAUUCAUCUUGCCUACACUCUCACACUCCUCACCUCCAUCUGUGUGUUACUGCCACCUUCUGGCCACAUUAUAACAACAACAACAACAACAACAAUAAUAAUAAUAAUAAUAAUAAGCUUCAUUAAUAAAAAUAAAUGAACAUAACAAAUGAACAUAUUUUGGGGAUUUAUAUAUUUUUAAUAUAAUAAGUGACAUUUAUUUAACUGUAUAUAUACAUACUUUAUUUACCAUAAAACAUCUUAAUAUAAAACAAAUUUGAUCUAAAUGAGUAAAAUGUUACAUUGUAAAUGUUUAAUUGGUUUAAUUACAUUUGUACAUUUAGAUUAGAGUGGUGUAUAUUCGUGUUUUAUUCGAUUACUCGGUUUUAUUACUUUAUUUAAAUUAACAUUUCAUUGUGGCCAGUUUAUUAUUUUUUAUUAUUAUGUAUGAACAUUUAGUUUUGUGAUCAAAAUAUCUGAAAAUUCUACAUGUAAUUAAGAUGUAGGUUUAAAGUUUUGGGUCAUUUUCAGCGUAAUAGAACGCGAUUUAUAAUAAACAAACGCAACUUUAAAAAGUAUAAUGUACAAGCUACAAGAUUAUCUCUUUAUUCUCCGUUCGUUCCGUUUGCGUUCUGCCCAACACUAGUUAACGUGUACGCGUAGUUAACGUGUAUUUAAUGUGUCGCUAAUGUCUUCCCCUGCGUGGAGAGGUGCAUUAUGGGACGUCGUUAUCAUCACACACUGAUUAUGAACAGAGCUGAGCGGGCCGUUAGAAUAAGGGCGGUGAAGUCGUUAUUCCCACACGUUCUCUGAAUCAGAGGCGUCGAGGGCCAGAUGGUGGAGUGAAACAGGACAUAAAAGGGCGAGCACUGCCUCACGCGGUGGGCGUGUCCACUCGACAUCCCCCAGGGAACGGGGCAUUUUCACUUGGACCUCCAUUUUCCCCAGGAGAGACUGAACUUAUUAUUCGACGUUCGGCUCGUCCCAAACCACGCGGCUUCAGACGGUCCUAAUGAUGCUUUGACCUGCAUUAUCCUAAAGCAGAGCGUGUGUACAAUCAUACAAGUGUGUGUGUGUGAACCUUAGUGUGUGAAGUCCAUAAAAACACCUUGCAUAAGAUUUAUUUAAAAACAAAUCUUAAAAGUUGCGAGUGCAUAAGUGUUCACCCCCUAAACUAGCGCUGGUCCAGUUUUCAUCAGAAGUCGAGCAUAAUUAGUCGAGCGGAGUCGACCUGUGUGUAAUUAAAGUGUCACGUGAUCUCACCUGCUGCUGGAGGAACCCAGAGUUUGUUCCAGAACAUCAUGAAGAUCAAGGAGAGAUCCAAACAAAGUUUUGGACAAGUCCAGGACAGGAUUGUUUUGGUUAUAAAAAGAAAUAUUCCAAACUUUGAAUAUCCUGCAGGGCGACAUUAAACCCGUUACUAAAAAAUGGAGAGAAUACGACAACUGCAACGAGAGGCGAGUAUAACUCUACAGAGGAGAAACGGCUCAGAAACACUGAGGCCUGGUGGAGGUAGCAUCAUGUUCCGCGUUACCCUUACAUAAAAUGUACAUAUAUAUAUUUUUCAUGCUUUAAAAAGUUACAGAGCAUGAUCUCUAACAGUUUACCCACGCUAGAUAAAUAUGCAAAUAUAGAAACUGCCCCAUGUCCUAACAGUCUUAUACACUCUGUGUUGCGCUGCACAAAAUAUUGGCACCUGCCCAUCAUUGGAAAGGGAGUACCACUGCGCAGAUAAGAUUUGGGUGAUGGUUUAUUUUCGGUACAGCAUGGAAACUUACUGUGUGUGUGUGUGUGUGUGUGUGUGUGUGUGUGUGUGCGCUGUAGGUAUGUGUGGACCAGCUACAGCAGAGUUGUUUAGAUUUUAAACAGCGUGUACUCUUUUAUAGAUGGAAUUAAUCACCCGUUAUUGCGCAGUAUUGAUCUGUGAAUUUGUGAAUAUGUGAAGUGUCCUGCAGUGCGUCUGGCUUUACUGAACAUCUGCCAUAAAUUAGACAUUUCCAAAGCAGCACCUGCCAUUUACACACUCCCUAUCCUGACUAACACACACACACACACACAGUUUUUCGCUCUCUCGCUCUCCAUUGUACACCUGCCUCCCACUUCCCCUGCAGGCCCGAGGUCACUCCCUCUUUCACGCACAUUAGCCUCAGAUCAAUGCGCCCUUUUGUCUGCGCGAGUUUCCCACGUUCUGCUCGCGCGCCUGGCACUCGCGCAGCUCAAAUCAAACACAGGCAGCUGAACUCGGGUUUAAUUCCCAACCGGCUCGAUCCUGACGGGACAUCUGGCCCACUCGCAUCUGCUCGCUGUUUCAUUGUGGAAGAAUGAAGAAGGAAAGUUGACCACAGAGCGACUAAAGCCGUGGUCUCCAGCAGUCCUUCUGAUUAGAACGGCUGUGUCCCAAAUCAGAACGAUGUGCUGCAUGCUACAUGCUACAUGGUUAUCCUCCUGCUGCACUUAAUACUGAGUGUGAAUCAGUGUUCAGAUUGUCACGGUAUAUCGCUAUACCAAUAUAUCAUCCAAUUCCUACAUAUUCUCAAAAUAUGAAAAUUAGUUCUUCACACUGAACAGACUGUAGUCUCUGGUGACUGUGCAGUAACAUGGUCUCCAUUUUCUUCCCACUUGCUAGCUAGCUAAUCCUCCCUGCUGCUUUCCUCCCCUUACACAGCCUUGCUCCGGAUACAUGACCAAACAGGCCUUCUGACUGGCUAGAGUCGUUCUGAUUGACAGGAGAGAGGACGGUCAUCCCGCCCACCUAGACAUCAGGAUUUCACACCAAUUUACCAAUUUUGUUUUUGUUUUCACUUUGGGACAGCUUCAGAAGCCACGCCCAUUUCCUCAGAACAGUGAUCGGACUGAAGAGUGUUCACACUUCAGAAUCGACUCUUCACUACUGAGUGAAUGCAGAGAUUUUACACAAUAAUGAAUAUAAACCUGAGAUUAUUCACUUUCAUUUAAACUUCUCAUAUUCAUACGUGACGACGAGACACGAUGAUUUAUAGAGUGUCGUUUAGGGACAGGUUUUGGUUUCAGCAGGAUCGUGUAGCGGAUAAAGGAACAGAGAAUGUAGGGUGUGUGUGUGUGUGUGUGUGUGUGUGUGUGUGUGUGUGUGUGUGUGUGUGUGUGUGUAUCGGAUCGUGCACACUCUCAUUCAUUCCGGGGGAAAGUCGUCACAAAGCAGACGAGUGAAUAUGGAGUUUCUCUCAAGGGUGACGGAGGGUGUGUGUGUGGGGGGGGGGGUUACACACUCAUGGGGUGGACAUCUGUCACAUGUUUUUAAUUGUGUGUGUGUUUGUGUGUGUGUGUGUGUGUGUGUGAGAAAGAGAGAGAGAAAUGAUCUUGUUGACACUUGUUGCACGUUGAUUUCAGUUCUGAAUCUCCGAAUGUGAAAAAGAGAAAGAAAUAUAAAGAGGACAAAGGAAAAGUAGGGAGUGAGAAAUAAAGCAGAAAAAGGGGAGAAAGGAGGAAGAAAAUGAAAUGAGUGAGGAAGACAUGUAUGGAAGAAAAGAGAGGAAGAAGGGAGAGAGACCAAUAAAUGUUAGAGAGAGAGAGAGAGAGAGAGAGAGAGAGAGAGGGAGAGAGAGAGGACUGUGAAGGAAGAAUGAGAUAAAAUGUGGGAUAAACUUUGAGAGAAACAGAAGACUGAAAUUAAAAGAUUUUUUAAGUGAGAGAGUGAGAGUAAAAUAAACAAAGUUGGAGAGAAAGAGUAAGGAGUAAUGACAGAGAGAGGAGACAGAGGGUGUAGAGAAAAUAUUACAGAGAGACUGUGGAAAAGAGAGAGAGGGAGAGAGAGAGGGAGAGAGAGAGGGAGAGAGAGGGAGAGAGAGAGGGAGGGAGAGAGGGAGGGAGAGAGAGAGUCUGAGAGAGAGGGAGUGAGAGAGAGAUGGAGAGAGGGAGAGAGAGGGGGAGAGAGA
This is a long non-coding RNA of Ictalurus punctatus (channel catfish), 5815 nucleotides long. The record is from Ensembl. NCBI's taxonomy places the organism in Eukaryota, Metazoa, Chordata, Actinopteri, Siluriformes, Ictaluridae.